AAACAAUGUGAAAAAUCACAAUGAAUAAAGCAUAAAACCUUGCUAGCUUUCUUGAGAAACAUCCGCAGGAUUCAUUCAAGAGCACUUGACCAUUAUGCAAUUCAUCUAGUAAUAGAAAUUUCAAACAGAUAGACCAGGCGGAUUGUAUGUGAUUGAGGGAGAUGGCACAAAAGGAUUCGUAUAGCAGAACUCAACUACUUUGGAAUUAAGGCUUGGUUGUUGUUGUUGUAGAAUAGGCACUUAGGCAGAGGUUCUAAUGCAUAUUAUCAAGAAACCAUCUCGACCCAAUAGCUUAAGCUAUUAUGUAAGAUCCCGGGAUAUGAUUUAUAUUAUUCUCUAACACCCCCCUAAAAUGAAAGCCCUUUGGACUUAAAACUUGUAUAGGCCUAUAUUACCUUGUGCUUAAUUUUUUUAUCAAAUAAAUGGAAAUGGUGAGAUUCGAACUCAUGACCGCUUGAUCAUCAAGGCUCUGAUACUAUGUCAAGAACCCAUCUUAACCCAAUAACUUAAGCUAUUAGGUGAGGUCCCAGGAUAUGAUUUAUAUUAUUCUAUAAAACAUAUCUCUAGUCCUUCAUUUAAUUUUUGAAGAACCAAGGCAGAAGAAAGGAAAAUCUGAGAUCUUCCUAACAGCCAAUUCAAUGCCAUCCAGCAAUAAAAUUCCAAGUUCUAGACUUCUAAUAUUAUCCUGACUACCACCCAUCUUCUGCUUCUCAUCCCUUUCAUGUUGCCAUCUCACUCCCUUCCCUCUUGCCUCUGGCAGUCGAGGCAAUCAGCAUGACAUUCAGCCAAGUUAGUAACACCAGAGUGUAAAAUUUUAAGUAUUGCUACUUCACUGAAUCUAUGAUCAUCCUGACAUGAACAUGCUAAAAAGCCCCACGUCCAGCUGAUAGACAACCAUAAAAGCUACAUACUAGUUGCCAAGGCAUAAAUCAAUCAACCUUUUCCA
Molecule: long non-coding RNA, 946 nt
Filed under: Populus tremula
Lineage: Eukaryota; Viridiplantae; Streptophyta; Magnoliopsida; Malpighiales; Salicaceae
Description: long non-coding RNA (PTRE_LNC002899)
Source: RNAcentral